ACACUGGCAGCUCUAGUGGUAGCUGUUUUUAUUGGGCCUAAAGCGUUCGUCGCCGGUUUGAUAAGUUGCUGGUGAAAUCCUGUAGGUUAACUGUCGAAUUUGCUGUUGAUAUUGUUUAACUUGUGGUCGGGAGAGGUUAGCGUUACUCCCAGGGCGGGGGUGAAAUUAGGUAAUCUUGGGAGGACCACCUGUGGCGCAGGCGGCUAACUGGAACGAACCUGACGGUGAGGGACGAAAGCUAGGGGCGCGAACCGGAUUAGAUACCCGGGUAGUCCUAGCCGUAAACGAUGCGGACUUGGUGUUGGGAUGGCUUUGAGCCGCUCCGGUGCCGAAGGGAAGCUGUUAAGUCCGCCGCCUGGGAAGUACGGUCGCAAGACUGAAACUCAAAUGAAUUGACGGGG
This 401-nucleotide ribosomal RNA is filed under the name uncultured bacterium. RNAcentral's name for it is "partial 16S ribosomal RNA". It matches the Rfam family "Archaeal small subunit ribosomal RNA", at positions 473 to 873 of the family's 1478-position model. The record is from RNAcentral.